UUUUGCAUGAUGAAAUGAAUCAGAUGGAUUCCCAAUGAUUUCUCUAUUUUUAGGGGAUAAUAUCACAAGCUAUUUCUGACUCAU
Molecule: small nucleolar RNA, 84 nt
Organism: Camellia sinensis
Lineage: Eukaryota; Viridiplantae; Streptophyta; Magnoliopsida; Ericales; Theaceae
Product: small nucleolar RNA R12
Source: RefSeq, a predicted model, not a curated record